GAUGAACGCUAGCUACAGGCUUAACACAUGCAAGUCGAGGGGCAGCAUGGUCUUAGCUUGCUAAGGCCGAUGGCGACCGGCGCACGGGUGAGUAACACGUAUCCAACCUGCCGUCUACUCUUGGACAGCCUUCUGAAAGGAAGAUUAAUACAAGAUGGCAUCAUGAGUCCACAUGUUCACAUGAUUAAAGGUAUUCCGGUAGACGAUGGGGAUGCGUUCCAUUAGAUAGUAGGCGGGGUAACGGCCCACCUAGUCUUCGAUGGAUAGGGGUUCUGAGAGGAAGGUCCCCCACAUUGGAACUGAGACACGGUCCAAACUCCUACGGGAGGCAGCAGUGAGGAAUAUUGGUCAAUGGGCGAGAGCCUGAACCAGCCAAGUAGCGUGAAGGAUGACUGCCCUAUGGGUUGUAAACUUCUUUUAUAAAGGAAUAAAGUCGGGUAUGGAUACCCGUUUGCAUGUACUUUAUGAAUAAGGAUCGGCUAACUCCGUGCCAGCAGCCGCGGUAAUACGGAGGAUCCGAGCGUUAUCCGGAUUUAUUGGGUUUAAAGGGAGCGUAGAUGGAUGUUUAAGUCAGUUGUGAAAGUUUGCGGCUCAACCGUAAAAUUGCAGUUGAUACUGGAUAUCUUGAGUGCAGUUGAGGCAGGCGGAAUUCGUGGUGUAGCGGUGAAAUGCUUAGAUAUCACGAAGAACUCCGAUUGCGAAGGCAGCCUGCUAAGCUGCAACUGACAUUGAGGCUCGAAAGUGUGGGUAUCAAACAGGAUUAGGUACCCUGGUAGUCCACACGGUAAACGAUGAAUACUCGCUGUUUGCGAUAUACAGCAAGCGGCCAAGCGAAAGCGUUAAGUAUUCCACCUGGGGAGUACGCCGGCAACGGUGAAACUCAAAGGAAUUGACGGGGGCCCGCACAAGCGGAGGAACAUGUGGUUUAAUUCGAUGAUACGCGAGGAACCUUACCCGGGCUUAAAUUGCAGAUGAAUUACGGUGAAAGCCGUAAGCCGCAAGGCAUCUGUGAAGGUGCUGCAUGGUUGUCGUCAGCUCGUGCCGUGAGGUGUCGGCUUAAGUGCCAUAACGAGCGCAACCCUUGUUGUCAGUUACUAACAGGUUCCGCUGAGGACUCUGACAAGACUGCCAUCGUAAGAUGUGAGGAAGGUGGGGAUGACGUCAAAUCAGCACGGCCCUUACGUCCGGGGCUACACACGUGUUACAAUGGGGGGUACAGAGGGCCGCUACCACGCGAGUGGAUGCCAAUCCCAAAAACCUCUCUCAGUUCGGACUGGAGUCUGCAACCCGACUCCACGAAGCUGGAUUCGCUAGUAAUCGCGCAUCAGCCACGGCGCGGUGAAUACGUUCCCGGGCCU
RNAcentral lists this ribosomal RNA (1358 nucleotides) under uncultured bacterium. RNAcentral's name for it is "bacterial SSU rRNA". It matches the Rfam family "Bacterial small subunit ribosomal RNA", at positions 28 to 1381 of the family's 1533-position model. The record is from RNAcentral.